Stereum hirsutum FP-91666 SS1 is the source of this 99-nucleotide non-coding RNA. The record is from the annotation of a RefSeq genome assembly. Lineage: Eukaryota; Fungi; Basidiomycota; Agaricomycetes; Russulales; Stereaceae.
AGCUCGGUAGCGUGAUGGUACCGCGUCUGUCCCCAACAGUGCUUGAGUCAAGGACUUAUGGUCUACAGAUAGUUCUGGGUUCGACUCCGAGUCGAGCUA